RNAcentral lists this long non-coding RNA (1055 nucleotides) under Homo sapiens (human). RNAcentral describes it as "long intergenic non-protein coding RNA 2426". Lineage: Eukaryota; Metazoa; Chordata; Mammalia; Primates; Hominidae. The record is from RNAcentral.
AGACGUAUCUGGAGAAAAAGAGAAUAAAGCUGAACAUGCAGCCUCCAGCCCCAGAGAAAGACUGAGAGAGAACAGGAGAAUAGAACCUUAUUAGACACCAGAUGUAUUUCCAGCAACUGGGUCUCCUCCAAGAUAUUCUUAUGUAACUACUCUACUUGUCACCUGGACAUCAGGACUUUGGAAAACUUCCCAAGUGUUUCCAUUGUGCAGGCUGUCAUGAGAAUAUCCUCUCUCGGGAAGACUUACUAGAGAAAGAAGUAGCCAUCACCAAUCUUUCAAGCCUUUUGCACUCUUACCUAUUGGAUUUGAACAACUUAUGUAAGGUCAUCUUGGGUUAUGAUUGUCCCUCUCAGUGCUUUUGGAGGUUAUAUUUGUCACUUCUUAAACUAAAGGAAAAGACUCACUUUUCUUAUAAAGUUGGAAGUAGUAAAUCUGUUCCUUUGAAACUAGAGAAAUAUGUCCCUGCCUAUGAAAACGCUGUUCUACUUUUGCAGAGGUAGCUGUAUCAUAGAGUGAAUGUGGCAACUGAUAUGGCCAUCACUGUGAAGAGCUGGGUACACACAUCAGCCUCAGGACACCCCCUGCAGUCCUAACUUGGGAACGUAAACCUCAGCUAUUGCAAGUAAACCAUUUCUGCUUCAUUCACAUGAGAACAUUUCCUUCACAAAAGUCACAUGGACAAGACAAAAUAAGAACUUACCUAAGGAAAAAAAAAUGUCUUUGGGUAACUACUGUGCUAAGCUACUUUCUGCAGAGGUUAGGUACUAUAGACAUUAGGAUCAGGAAAAACCAAGAAACAAACAAUUGUGACUAAAUUUUUCUCUAGGAGACACGGAAAGGAAUUUGUUCAGCUCUUGAGAGAUAAAUGUAUGGAGACAAAUACAGAACAGCAAGAAAGUCAGAAGAACCAGAGAGACGGUGUGCAACAGGAGGCUUUUAAGAAGCAUCCAACAGCAACUGUCUCCUUUCUAGUUAUUUCUAUUACUUCAGCCUUACCUCCUCCAACUUCAGCACCUCAUUAUAAUAUCCUUCCCAAUCAAUCUUCUAUGGAACUA